UGGGGAAUAUUGCACAAUGGAGGGAACUCUGAUGCAGCGACGCCGCGUGAACGAAGAAGGCUUUCGAGUCGUAAAGUUCUUUUAUAUGGGAAGAUAAUGACGGUACCAUAAGAAAAAGCCCCGGCUAACUACGUGCCAGCAGCCGCGGUAAUACGUAGGGGGCUAGCGUUGUCCGGAAUCACUGGGCGUAAAGGGUUCGCAGGCGGAAAUGCAAGUCAGGUGUAAAAGGCAGUAGCUUAACUACUGUAAGCAUUUGAAACUGCAUAUCUUGAGAAGAGUAGAGGUAAGUGGAAUUUUUAGUGUAGCGGUGAAAUGCGUAGAUAUUAAAAAGAAUACCGGUGGCGAAGGCGGCGUACUGGGCUCAUUCUGACGCUGAGGAACGAAAGCGUGGGUAGCAAACAGG
RNAcentral lists this ribosomal RNA (403 nucleotides) under bacterium. Its description in RNAcentral is "partial 16S ribosomal RNA". It matches the Rfam family "Bacterial small subunit ribosomal RNA", at positions 355 to 776 of the family's 1533-position model. The record is from RNAcentral.